CGGAAAGAUGCAAAGAGGAAGCAAUGAGCUUCAUCUCCUUGUCUCAACCAAACACCAUUUUUUCUCUUAACUUUUGAUUUGGAAGUCUGAAUUUGAUUCCGCUUUCGUGGGGAAGAGUACUACAAAUCUCAGGGACUCCAGUUACCACAACGGUUGUGUUUAAUCGAGGUGUUGGUAAGGGACAUUGUUUACUUGUUUUGGACUCCAGGUAGGGGAAAUACGGCAGACCUUUACCAAGAUUGGCUUUAUUAAAUUUCGUGAAGCAUUAUAUUAUUAUCGAUCUUGUUGGUUGAUUAAUGUGAUAUGGGUUUCUAAUUGGACAAAUACUGCUCUUGCGUGUUUACUUGUUAUUGGUUAUGGAAUUAUUGGUGAAAUGCUAUUGGUUGAGAAUAUACUAUGGUAUAUGUGAAUGAUAAAUGAAAGUAUUUGUGAAUCA
Malus domestica (apple) is the source of this 436-nucleotide long non-coding RNA. RefSeq lists it as uncharacterized. The record is from RefSeq and is a predicted model, not a curated record. NCBI's taxonomy places the organism in Eukaryota, Viridiplantae, Streptophyta, Magnoliopsida, Rosales, Rosaceae.